This is a long non-coding RNA of Benincasa hispida (wax gourd), 796 nucleotides long. RefSeq lists it as uncharacterized. The record is from RefSeq and is a predicted model, not a curated record. Lineage: Eukaryota; Viridiplantae; Streptophyta; Magnoliopsida; Cucurbitales; Cucurbitaceae.
AAGAACAAAAAAAGGAGCCCUAGUUUGCCGAUGUCUCUUUUUUUUUUUUUCCUUUCACUUGCAGCAGCCCCCAUCUUCUCCCUCACUCCCUACGGCCACAAUCCCCAUCUUCUUCUUCACUCUCUACGGCGGCACACACUGCCACGGCUACCAUUAUUGGCCGUCGGAAAGCCUCUGCAGUCAAUUUUUUCCCUUCCGCCUCUUAUCUUCCCAAAACUCCAGCUCUCAGAUGGUACUCAUCAAUUCCCAUUUAUAAUAGCUGCAUCUAUGGCCACCCACAAACAACUCAACGACGAUAACAUCAAACAUGGAAGAAUAGUUGGCAACAACCUCACCGGUGUCAAUGGCACAAUUUCUAGUCUCUCCGGAAAGCAAGUGGACGUCGUGAAGCGGAUCCUGAACGAUUCAUGUUAUUCUUGAUUACUAUGAUGUUCAGAAGUUAGGUAAAUUGUCGAGCGAUAACACUACAGUUCUCACAACUUUAUUUCAGGCAAGCGGUGCCGCAACAAAUCAGCAAGGUUUCAUCAAGGUUAAAUUGAUUAACGAAGGUGAAGUCGCGUUUGGAUUUGCUGUGAAAAGAGCACCGGCUAAUUCAAAAUUGGUGAAAUAUGUUGCUUCUCAGCCAUAGUACUGUCAUCCAAGCAACUCUUAUUUAUAGAAGAAAAAAUAGCAAAUCAGAAAUUCAAAUAAAAUCUAGUUAAUUAGAUUUUAUUAACUAUAUUCUUUUGAUUUUUGGGUGUUUGACGAAGUGUAAACUCAAAUUUGUGUUGAAAUUGGGAUUCUGUUCUAAAAAAAA